This 496-nucleotide ribosomal RNA is filed under the name uncultured Bacteroidales bacterium. Its description in RNAcentral is "bacterial SSU rRNA". It matches the Rfam family "Bacterial small subunit ribosomal RNA", at positions 69 to 563 of the family's 1533-position model. Lineage: Bacteria; Pseudomonadati; Bacteroidota; Bacteroidia; Bacteroidales. The record is from RNAcentral.
GAAAGCUUGCUUUUCCUAGGCGUCGACCGGCGCACGGGUGAGUAACGCGUAUCCAACCUGCCCAUGUCUGGGGAAUAACCCGUCGAAAGGCGGACUAACUCCCCAUGGUCUCCGAUGAGGACAUCUGAAUUGGAGUAAAGCUUCGCGGACAUGGAUGGGGAUGCGUCUGAUUAGGUAGUAGGCGGGGUAACGGCCCACCUAGCCUACGAUCAGUAGGGGUUCUGAGAGGAAGGUCCCCCACAUUGGAACUGAGACACGGUCCAAACUCCUACGGGAGGCAGCAGUGAGGAAUAUUGGUCAAUGGACGAGAGUCUGAACCAGCCAAGUAGCGUGCAGGAUGACGGCCCUAUGGGUUGUAAACUGCUUUUGCGCGGGGAUAACACCCUCCACGUGCUGGGGGUCUGCAGGUACCGCGCGAAUAAGGACCGGCUAAUUCCGUGCCAGCAGCCGCGGUAAUACGGAAGGUCCGGGCGUUAUCCGGAUUUAUUGGGUUUAA